GGACCGGUAGCUCAGUUGGUUAGAGCGCUGCCCUGUCACGGCAGAGGUCGCGGGUUCGAGUCCCGUCCGGUCCG
This 74-nucleotide transfer RNA is filed under the name bacterium. Its description in RNAcentral is "tRNA-Asp". It matches the Rfam family "tRNA". From Rfam's summary of the family: Transfer RNA (tRNA) molecules are approximately 80 nucleotides in length. Their secondary structure includes four short double-helical elements and three loops (D, anti-codon, and T loops). The record is from RNAcentral. RNAcentral also lists the same sequence under 1 other name.